GCGCAGCCUGAUGCAGCCAUGCCGCGUGUGUGAAGAAGGCCUUCGGGUUGUAAAGCACUUUCAGUCAGGAGGAAAGGUUAGUAGUUAAUACCUGCUAGCUGUGACGUUACUGACAGAAGAAGCACCGGCUAACUCCGUGCCAGCAGCCGCGGUAAUACGGAGGGUGCGAGCGUUAAUCGGAAUUACUGGGCGUAAAGCGUACGCAGGCGGUUUGUUAAGCGAGAUGUGAAAGCCCCGGGCUCAACCUGGGAACUGCAUUUCGAACUGGCAAACUAGAGUGUGAUAGAGGGUGGUAGAAUUUCAGGUGUAGCGGUGAAAUGCGUAGAGAUCUGAAGGAAUACCGAUGGCGAAGGCAGCCACCUGGGUCAACACUGACGCUCAUGUACGAAAGCGUGGGGAGCAAACGGGAUUAGAUACCCCGGUAGUCCACGCCGUAAACGAUGUCUACUAGAAGCUCGGAGCCUCGGUUCUGUUUUUCAAAGCUAACGCAUUAAGUAGACCGCCUGGGGAGUACGGCCGCAAGGUUAAAACUCAA
RNAcentral lists this ribosomal RNA (535 nucleotides) under Pseudoalteromonas distincta. RNAcentral's name for it is "bacterial SSU rRNA". It matches the Rfam family "Bacterial small subunit ribosomal RNA", at positions 375 to 904 of the family's 1533-position model. The record is from RNAcentral. Lineage: Bacteria; Pseudomonadati; Pseudomonadota; Gammaproteobacteria; Alteromonadales; Pseudoalteromonadaceae.